Long non-coding RNA from Diorhabda carinulata, 6519 nucleotides. RefSeq lists it as uncharacterized. The record is from RefSeq and is a predicted model, not a curated record. NCBI's taxonomy places the organism in Eukaryota, Metazoa, Arthropoda, Insecta, Coleoptera, Chrysomelidae. The transcript is spliced from 2 exons.
CCAAGUGUGAUUCGUUUUCCACAUGCUGAAGGCAAUAGUUCUGCAUCGGAGAAUGAGUCGUGUAUAUGGCGAAAAUUUCAUGAGUGAUGGUGUCGAAGGUUUAAAAAUGGCCGUAAUGAUAUGCAUGAUGAAAGGAGCCAAGGGCGCAAAUCUGUCCUUUCAGGUUCAACAAGUUGACAGAAUGGUUAAAGAAAACCGCAGAUUCACCAUUACUGCUUUGCCUACGGAAUUUCCAGAAGUUUAAAGGUCUGUUUUUGAUUGUAUUGUUACUGAACGGUUAGGCAGCAUUGACGGCAAAUUUAUUUGAAGAGGGUAUUGAGAAGCUUGUCCACAGAUAUGACAAAUCUCAAUCUCAUCGGUGAUUAUGUCGAAAAGUAACCGAAAGUGUACCAAUCUUUUGGUUAUAAAAUUAUUGUUUUAUAUGAACUUGUCUUCGAUUUAUAGCCUAUCGAAGGUUGAGAAAAACCGACCUCGUAUUAUAAAUAUGUUAAAUACUGUCGCAUUUCAAAUUUAAAUAUUGAUCACCCUUUAUAAUGAAAGAAAUUUCUAAAUAACCCCUCGUAUAUUGUGUGUUUAUAAAAAAACUUCCUAAAUAUCUUCGUAGACUAGGACCAACUAUCCAGUUAAUAGUUUAUAUAUGUCAAAUAUUACUGUCCCGUUUAAAAUUUUCUCUUUGGUCACUUUUUAUAUUUAAAAAAAACUUUUGAAGGACGCCUCGUAUAUUUGGAAAUUUGUCUACUAUAAGAGUAUGAAUGAAUGUUAGAAACGGUAAUAAUUUUCUUAUUGUAUAAAAAUUUUAUAAUUGUAUUUUAUAAAUGUUAAAAUUGGUUUUUAGUUUAUUAUAGCGUUUAAAUUCAAGCUAAGACAAUUAUAGGACUGUGAUUAUAGCAGUCUCAAUCCGAAUUUUGACAAUGUUUGUAUAAAACAUGUUCAAAACUCCUCAUUUUGAAUUAUUUUUAGGUGUUAAUUUUAUAUACUGUAUGGAGUUUUGAACAAGUUAUAAUGUAUGUCUAUUUGUAUAUAGAAAUUAUGUUUUGUAUUUAGCUGUAAUGUCGAUUCAUUCAUGUGUGAAAUAAUAUAUAACUAACCAAAUUAAUUUCAGGUCAUAUGAAUAUAUUCACCCUAAAAUUUGCAUAGUAUUACUAGCUCUAUAUUACUGAUAAUAUAAAUGGAAUUCGGAUUUUGUCGAGGACUAAGAAAAAGUAAUCCUAAUUACAUUGCAUUCAAUUUCAUUUAUAAAUCAGAAACUAUAUAUUACAGGAUGAUCCGCUAAUAAGAAAAAAAUAAAUCAUUUAUUUAGCCAACACUUUAGAAUUCUACUAUUGUGGUUGACGUCUCACUAUAAAACUGAUUAUUGCAGGGUAGCAGCUAAUGGGAAAAAAUAUUUUUCUACUCCCAGAAAAUGUGAAUUAUUAUAUUAAAAACUAGUUGAAAGAGAUGCAGCUUAAAUAUUUGCUGCUACAAAAAUUCAUUUAUUUAUAUCACACACCAAAACAAAUCUCGACAAAAGUAAAUUAACCUCCUCCCCUUGCUUAAAAAGAAAAAUAUUAAAAUCUUUAGCAACAAACUGCCUUUUUGAUUCAAUACAAAUGAAAGUAUUUUCUACUUACUGAAAAUAAAGAAAUAGUAAUUUAGUCCGGGAAGUAAUUUAGUACGAUAUGAGAUAGAUGUUUAUGGACGAAAAUGUCGUAUGAAAAAAAAUUUAAUACAUUGGAAUUUCUUCUUUUUUACAUAAAUCAAUGUUCAUAACAAAAAUCAUAGUUUAUAACUGUCUACUCAAAAUUUUUAAAUCGAUCUUAUAGUCCUGUGCCUGUGCCUCCUAUCAUACGCUUAUCUAUACCCAAUACGAACCUUAUUCAAACAUUUCUUCAACAUAACUAUACUCGUAAUAACCUAGAACAUCAAAAACAAUCCAGAUUAUUCGUGAACUUUAUAAUCAUGGUGCAAAAGUCAUACUGGGGAAAGAAGAAUACCCUAAUUGGUUCUCUACGAUAUGUGUUUACCUGGGAUUACUGUUCUUGUUAAUUGAAAUAUGUUCGGAUUUCUAAAGCAAAUAAUAAAACACAUACUUUAUUAAUAUUUAAAUGGAGUUUUAAAUGAAGAAGCUAUAAAAACUGUAACGCUUGUUAGUUCAGUGGUUCAUGGGAAUUUAUUAAAAGAAAUAUUGCUACUGUAACGAAACCAGUUGUAGCAAUUUUUUAUGGAUCACCUAAAACAUGCAAUUGUACAAAAAGUAUAUAACUUGAAGAAUAUGGUGUAAUUGUGAUUCAUUCAUUCCAAAGAUGCUUUACGGCAGCUAAUAUCACUUAGGCUCGGCAAACAUAAUAGGCAAGAUUGUUUGGUAUCUGGAUAUAGAUUUUGAAAAUUGUGUUAAAGCCAAAUUACUUCGAUUUUCAUUAGUAGGAGGAGUUUGAUCAAAAUGGAUGUACACGGUUGUUAGAUUUAUAUUCUAUUUUGAUGAUCUUAUUUCAAUGUUAUGUUGCAAACUAUUUCUAACGAUUAUUUACACAAAAUAUAUUAUUUUUUUAUUUCAAUAUAUUUUAUGAAAACUCAAUAUUCCCACUCUACGAACUCAAAUAAUGUUUUGUAGACUGAAUUAUUUUGAGAACAAAAAUAUAUAACAUACAAAAAUUCUGCUGAUAAAUUUAUUUGCAGAGAGAUAACAAAUAUCGAAAGAAACCAACUAAUUCUUGAAGUUAUUGUAGAUUCGAAAUUCAAGAUCGCGGGUUUCUGGUUUGCAAAUAACGAGUGUAAUACCAACCUAAAUAUUUUUGUCCCAAACUCACAUUCACACCAAACCCAACCAAAACAGGUUUGCAACAUUUUUAGGUCAUACAUAUUGUAUUUAAAUUGUUGGUAUAAAAGAUCAUUGAAGCUUUGGUUAGUAUAUAACAUGACAUUGAAUUAAAAAUAAAUUUAAAAUACUCCUAAAUUUAUAACAGGAAAUUCUAAACCUUAUUUAAAUUGUUAUGAUCUUUUCAACUCAUGAACUGUUUCAAAGAAUCAUAAUAUAUUACAUAAUAUAUUUUCUAAUUGUUUAGCUUAUGUGAACCUCUUAAUUUAUUAUUUAGUAUUUUAGCUUGAACUGAACUUCUUAUUUCUUAAAAAAAUCGUUUCAGUAUAUAACCAAUGAUUACUAAUUUUUUUUGUGAAAUAUGAUGACUCGAAAUAUUGUUAUUUAUUUUAUUUAGGUACGAGAGCAGAGAAAUUUUCUCUCUUGUUAACUGAAUUUUUUUAAAAGGAUUAAAUACUUGGCUAAUAUUUCCAAUUCUACGAAAAUUAAUGGAAUAUUUGUUAGCUGGAACCUAUUAUCUCGAUAUCUUCAUCACAAAUUUUGCUGUAACACUUAAUAUCGAUGCCCCCUAUCUUUUUCCAAAAAAAUAAAAAGAAUUAAUGCAUCUCGAAAAAAAAUUAUUCUAAUAUAACUUUUGUAUCACUUGCAUGUUAAAAUAUAAUUUUUCAUAGUUUUUGAGUAACACCUGUAUAUAUGUAAAUAAAAAGCUCUACUUAUAUAUUUCAAUAAAUUUCUUUCUGGUUAAACGUUUAGUUAGUUUAAAAUGGCCAAAUUGUCGUUUAUUUUGUAUUUGUUUAUUAAAAUUAUCUGUUAACUUGACAAUAAGAUUUUGACUUAAUAUUUUUUGUGUGGAAAAGUUUUUCAUUAAUAAUAUUUUCCAACGGUUACAGGCAUAAUUUUUGGUUCGUCAUAUAAUUUGUCAUAUUUCAUUAUUUCCUAGAACUACAAAGGGAGUUAUAGAAGUGAAUUUUUAUGUGACAAACCAACGAAAUAGUUUCAUUUCUCAAAUAACUAGGAUUUAGAUAUUCAGAAACAUCAAAUAAAGUUAUAGUUGUAUUGUUGCCAUAUAUCCGAAAUAGAUAUUUGAUAAUGUUAUAUGCUUCUAUUAUGCAGUAUUUCAAUUUUUUUUCAAAUUAUUUGAUCUGGCUUCUCAAAUGAGGGCAAAGCAUUUUGUUCCGCCUUACGUAGUGUCAUAUUUUUUAGAAAAUUAUCCAAAUUUGUUUUGAAAACUGUUCCCUACUCCAUAAUAUACAAACUUGUCAUUAUUGUAGAAUAAAUUAAAUAAAAAUAAAAUGAAUGAGGAACGUUAAACAUGCAUUUAUUACUGCAGGUAAAAAACGUUAUGAAUAAGUGUAUGAGAGCUGAUCCCUUUGCUCCGCCUGUUUAUAAAUCAAAUUAAUUAUUUAUCACCAUGUCCCAUUGUAACCUAUUAUGUUUAUACUCAAGAUAGAAACGACUAGAGUAGAAGCCGAGAGAGUCACAUCUCAGUAGGUAUAGAGUGACGCGCAGUGAUUAAAUACGUGCGUUUAUUUAUUUACAAAGAUUACAAGGAGACAAUAAGAGAAACUGCAGUAUCAUACAUUGCAUAAAAUUGGUAUAAAAUUUGACAGAAUAAGAAUACAGUUUUUCCUACACCUGAAAUUGAUAAUAGAAGUCAUAACACCCACUUUUUAAGAUAUUGUAGCAUUUCGAUUACUCAAAUUUGGCAAGUGUCACUCAACUGAGUGAAUCGUUACUAAGAAAGUUGUCCUCUAUGUACUGGGGAUGUCCUGAUUUUUGUUAAAGUCUAGUAUCUCGCUAAUAUCCAUCAUAAUUUCAUAGUUUUAACUGCUUUUUAGACUACAUCAUGAAGCAAUACAUACUUUUUUAUUUACUUCUACUACUUUUAUUACUAAGUAUUACAGAUUGAUUAAAAUUUAUUGAAGUAGUGAUAUAGGCCACUUUCUUGAAUCUUUCUUUAUUUAUUUAUCUUGGAUAAACAUAAAUAAUUUGAAAUUUUUAUCAAACAAAUAAUUUUUGGAGCACUGUAAUGAUUUAGGUAUAGUACUUGAAGACUAAGAGGGCAAAGACCUAGAAACUUAUGAGCUUCAUGAAAAACUACAUUUUUUAUUCCAGAAUCUACCAAACUUCUUUAAAGUUCAGUAGAUGUUUCAAUACAUAAUUACAAAUUAAGUAUAUUUUAAGUAUAACGUCCGCAAAAAGAAAUUGAGAAUUAUUAGAAACUACUUAAGAAACACCAUAUAGCAAGACCGACAGUGUGGUUCAACAAUACCCUUAACCAAAGCAGAAGUAAAUGAAAAAAAUAAUUAAAAAACCUUACUAGGACUUCAGUAAAAAGCUAAGAACAUCACUUUUACAAAAUUUUAAAUCGUUCAAGCUACAAAAUAAAACUUUUUUUCACUGUUAUGAGUAGGUAUGUCUUGGCAAAGCCUGUUUCGUAAAAUAAGCUCAUUAGAUAGAUCUAGGUGUCGACGUAAAAAAAUUUGGUAAGUGUACAGACAAACAUGUAGACUCCUAUCACAUAUGGUUCUCACUGCCGAACUGAACAUGAAUGUUAGCAAAUGCACACAAGCAAACUCUAAAAUAUUUGCAGUCGUUUUCAACGUAGUAUAGAUUUCUUACAAGUUUAGUCAUUGAAUGCUAUGUUUAUUGAUAAAAAGGCGUGUGAUUCAUAUGUAAAAAUUUACUUUGAUUAAAUCAUUUCUCUAAGCAUUAAGUUCACUUGACGAUAUGUGCCUGUAGAUCCAAGAACUUACUUAUCCAUGACUAAAUAAGAGUGGUAACAUCGAGAUCCACCACCGCCAAAAAUACACAAGAUGCAAUCUUCAGCAGGUAAGAUCAUUCUAACAUGCCAAAAGAAGUUAUGAUUACAGGUCCGCCAUUGCAAUAGCCGUAAUAGAUCAGGCAGGCUUUUAAUCAAUUGACCAAACCACUAUUUUCUCUAACUUUAGCCCCUAACGAAUAUCGAUUGUUUCUACAAUUAAAAAAACACUUGCCUGGUAAACCAUUAUAAUAGUAUAAUGAUGUCCUACAGCUGUUAAUCAGUGGAUUGCAGAGAUUAAACAAUAUUUAUUUCGAGACGUAUUAAAUAUGCUAGAACAUUAAUGGGAAACAAUUUUUAACCUUAUUAAGUACUAUAUAAUAAAAUUGAUAUGUUCACCCAUUUUCUAUUGUAAUCGGUUCAUGCAUAGAACAAAUGGAUCAGCCCUCAUAAGUAAACAUGGACAAUACCAAUGAAUCCAGGGGCUUUUCGCCUUCUAAAUAUGAUGUUUUUACAGUGAUGGCCAAUUGGAAGCAGCUUCCACUAUCCUAUUUGAUUUUAAAUAAUGUGUGUAGCAAAUAAUCAAACGUGUAUGAAUGAAAUUAUAUAGGAAACAAGAAUCGUUGAAGCAAUGUUUUAUUCUAUUAAUAUAAUUCAAUUUUCGUAAAUCUGAAAUAUGAUCAAAUAGUUUAGAAAAAAGUGCGUAUGUAAAAAUUAUAUUCAGAGCAAUCUCUUAUUUUUAAUUACUGUGUAUUAUUAUGAUUUGUUGUAAAUAUUAUUAGGAAAAACUCAUCCAUUUGAGUCAUUUAUAACGAGAAAAUUUUUAAAGUUUUGAAGUGCCCUUGUCUAUAAAACAUAGUUAACUUUUGUGUAAUAUUAUUGCCAUAGGUUUUGUAUAUAGUAUGUGUUGUAUUAUCAUGUAUGUAAUUACUCAUAAAUCAAAAAUAAAGACAUUAUAGAAAUG